GACGAACGCUGGCGGCGUGCUUAACACAUGCAAGUCGAGCGGUAAGGCCCUUUCGGGGGUACACGAGCGGCGAACGGGUGAGUAACACGUGGGUGACCUGCCCUCAGCUCUGGGAUAAGCCUGGGAAACCGGGUCUAAUACCGGAUAUGACUCCAUGACGCAUGUUGUGGGGUGGAAAGCCUUGUGCGGCUGAGGAUGGGCCCGCGGCCUAUCAGCUUGUUGGUGGGGUGAUGGCCUACCAAGGCGACGACGGGUAGCCGGCCUGAGAGGGCGACCGGCCACACUGGGACUGAGACACGGCCCAGACUCCUACGGGAGGGCAGCAGUGGGGAAUCUUGCGCAAUGGGCGAAAGCCUGACGCAGCGACG
This 368-nucleotide ribosomal RNA is filed under the name uncultured bacterium. RNAcentral describes it as "bacterial SSU rRNA". It matches the Rfam family "Bacterial small subunit ribosomal RNA", at positions 28 to 396 of the family's 1533-position model. The record is from RNAcentral.